This is a long non-coding RNA of Oryzias melastigma (Indian medaka), 994 nucleotides long. RefSeq lists it as uncharacterized. Lineage: Eukaryota; Metazoa; Chordata; Actinopteri; Beloniformes; Adrianichthyidae. The record is from RefSeq and is a predicted model, not a curated record. The transcript is spliced from 2 exons.
UUUGUGUCCCCCUAGAGCAAAUGAAGCUUCAUGAAGGAUUGCUCCGGAGUGAACCAAUGGGAAGAAAGGCUUCAGUGCUUCAAGAAAGCUUCAUCUGCAUCUGCCCAUCACUACUGGAGCUGGAGAGCUGGACUGAAAGGACGAGGGAACGAUGGAGUUUGAGCAGCUACAGGACAAGCUAAGUGAAGCGUUGGUGCAGCUCCAAAAGUCCUCUGAUGAGGAGGCUUCAAUCAUGGGAGGACUGAGACUUGAUGUUGUACUAAUUGAAGAUGGAGAAGACAUGGUGGAACAUCAGUUGUUCUUGAAGAACAAAUCAUUUUGAACCAUAUGAAGGACUUUCCUCAUGCCAUUGCUCUGCUGAUGGGCCUGCUGUCUGCACCCAACAUGGACUUUACAAGAGGUCAGCGCUACACUUUUGAGGUCAUUCAAAAGAUCUUCAUGGACAUUGGUGAGGGACGGUGCUCCUCGUUAGUUCAUGGUCUGAGAAAUACAAUAUAGAUUUUGGUUUGAUUAAUUAUGGUUUUGUCUCCAGAAUGUUAGGAAAGUAACCUGUAAAGGAAGGAGUCAUUGCCCAACAGAUUAUUUUUUUCUCCUGAGCAUAAUGGGAGUAAGAAAUGUCCAUCCUGAAAUUAUUUUAUGUUUGAAAAAUAAAUAAAGGAAUUAUGGUUGAAAUUUGUUGUUUUUCUUGAAAACCCACUUGUUUUAAUUAUCUAUCAUUUUCUAUUUCAAUGAAUCACAGUGUCCAAAUAUUAUAGUACUAAUUUAGGGCAUUUUAAUUUUUUAAAAUAUUCUUCUUUAGGUCUAGUCAAUUAAAAAUAUUUAACUAAAAUUUGCACAUUAGUUUGAUUAAAAAAAAACGAGCGAAGCGACUAUAAAAGGAGCUGAUCUACCAUGCAGCUCAAAACAUUUUUCUUACCUUUUAAAAACUGAGAUUCUGUGAAACAUUUGCUGUAAAAAGAAAAAAACUAAACUGCAUCAGAUCAUAAAGAAAAAA